GACAGAGGGUGCGAGCGUUGUUCGGAAUUACUGGGCGUAAAGGGCGUGUAGGCGGUGGGGUGUGUCCGAUGUGAAAGCCCUCGGCUCAACCGAGGAAUGGCAUUGGAAACUACCUCGCUCGAGUGCGGGAGAGGAUGGCGGAAUUACCGGUGUAGAGGUGAAAUUCGUAGAUACCGGUAGGAACACCAGAGGCGAAGGCGGCCAUCUGGCCCGCAACUGACGCUGAGACGCGAAAGCGUGGGGAGCAAAC
Molecule: ribosomal RNA, 250 nt
Filed under: uncultured bacterium
Lineage: Bacteria
Description: partial 16S ribosomal RNA
Rfam family: Bacterial small subunit ribosomal RNA
Source: RNAcentral